GCCCCGGUAGUGUAGUCUGGCCAUAUCUAUAGAAACAAUCUAUAGGUAUCAGAAUAGCAUCCGAGACUGUCACUCUCGGGACUCGGGUUCAACUCCCGACCGGGGCGCCA
This 110-nucleotide transfer RNA is filed under the name Promethearchaeota archaeon. RNAcentral describes it as "Candidatus Lokiarchaeota archaeon (microbial mat metagenome) tRNA-Asp". Lineage: Archaea; Promethearchaeati; Promethearchaeota. The record is from RNAcentral.